RNAcentral lists this ribosomal RNA (504 nucleotides) under uncultured bacterium. RNAcentral's name for it is "partial 16S ribosomal RNA". It matches the Rfam family "Bacterial small subunit ribosomal RNA", at positions 29 to 523 of the family's 1533-position model. The record is from RNAcentral.
AUUGAACGCAGGCGGCAGGCCUAACACAUGCAAGUCGAACGGUAGCACAGAGAGCUUGCUCUCGGGUGACGAGUGGCGGACGGGUGAGUAACGUCUGGGAAACUGCCCGAUGGAGGGGGAUAACUACUGGAAACGGUAGCUAAUACCGCAUAACGUCGCAAGACCAAAGUGGGGGACCUUCGGGCCUCACACCAUCGGAUGUGCCCAGAUGGGAUUAGCUAGUAGGUGGGGUAAUGGCUCACCUAGGCGACGAUCCCUAGCUGGUCUGAGAGGAUGACCCGCCGCACUGGAACUGAGACACGGUCCAGACUCCUACGGGAGGCAGCAGUGGGGAAUAGUGCACAAUGGGCGCAAGCCUGAUGCAGCCAUGCCGCGUGUAUGAAGAAGGCCUUCGGGUUGUAAAGUACUUUCAGCGGGGAGGAAGGCGGUGAAGUUAAUAACUUCACCGAUUGACGUUACCCGCAGAAGAAGCACCGGCUAACUCCGUGCCAGCCGCCGCGGUAA